This 373-nucleotide ribosomal RNA is filed under the name uncultured bacterium. Its description in RNAcentral is "bacterial SSU rRNA". It matches the Rfam family "Bacterial small subunit ribosomal RNA", at positions 521 to 896 of the family's 1533-position model. The record is from RNAcentral.
UAAUACGGAGGUGGCAAGCGUUGUUCGGAUUGAUUGGGUGUAAAGGGCAUGUAGGCGUCCUGACAAGUCGAAUGUGAAAUCCCGUAGCUCAACUACGGAACUGCAUUCGAAACUGCUAGGAUUGAGUACAGAAGGGGAGAAUGGAAUUCCCGGUGUAAGGGUGAAAUCUGUAGAUAUCGGGAGGAACACCAGUGGCGAAGGCGGUUCUCUGGUCUGAUACUGACGCUGAAAUGCGAAAGCUAGGGGAGCAAACAGGAUUAGAUACCCUGGUAGUCCUAGCCGUAAACGAUGGGCACUAGGUGUCGGCUCGCAAGGGUCGGUGCCGCAGCUAACGCAUUAAGUGCCCCACCUGGGGAGUACGUCGGCAACGAUG